Corylus avellana is the source of this 812-nucleotide non-coding RNA. The record is from RefSeq and is a predicted model, not a curated record. Lineage: Eukaryota; Viridiplantae; Streptophyta; Magnoliopsida; Fagales; Betulaceae.
UUUUUUUUUUAAAUUAAGCUCCAAAUUCUAGAAGAUCUUUAGGUUUUAAUAAAAUAGUAUACAUAUUGUUUGAAUUUCUUCAGGGUACUAUUCUAGUCUAUUUUGUCCUUUUCUGUUUUUUGUACUGUUUCUGCUCCGCACAGAAAUCGUGUAUAAAAAACUAUUGAAAUUUCAACGUGUUACCUUUCUCUUCAAUAAAAUGAUGCUUUACCUACGUUAAUUUUACUUCUUUGCAGGAUUAUCAGGAGAUUAUGUUGGCUUCCUUCUACUAGCUUAGUAUUUCUGGGUACUAGGAUUUCCCUACCCAGAUCCUCUGAAAUAGCAAUAUUGGCGAGGUGGCAACCACGUUAAUUAAAUGAUAUUUUUUUGGAGCUUUAUUUUUCAACUUGAUGCAUUUGGAGAGCUGUUUCAUAACAUUUGGACGCAAUACUUGGUUCUAAAUGGCUGAACGUCUACAAUUGAGAGGAUAUCCUUCAGUGCCGGCGACGCUCUUUCAAAGCACGCCAUCCUCAGAAAUGCCUGAUCUCUCCACAAAUGGUUGAAAGUGGAAGUGAAGUGAGAUGAGAGUUUUUAGAGGUUAAUGAACUUUGAGUAGACUCUAAGUUCAACGUCGCAAUCAUGUUUGGCAACAUUUGAAGCAACCACUUUCAUCCCAUCUUUUUGCUUCUUUUUGUCAUUGACUUGGGUACAAGGCACGCUAAAGUGAUUGCCUGUGCAUAUCCUCUUCUUGCUAGAUUUUGUUUUCGGAUCCUAUUACAAAGAAACAAUAAGAAAUCUUGCUGUUUGUUGAUUUUAUUUAUUUAUUUUUUUAA